RNAcentral lists this ribosomal RNA (353 nucleotides) under Dineutus sp. KBMDisp576. RNAcentral's name for it is "partial 12S ribosomal RNA". The record is from RNAcentral. Lineage: Eukaryota; Metazoa; Arthropoda; Insecta; Coleoptera; Gyrinidae.
UUAGAAUGUUAAUAUUAAAACUAAAGUAGUAUUAGUUAUGUUCUUUAAAUUUAAAGAUUUUGGCGGUAUUUUAGUCUAUUCAGAGGAACCUGUUCUGUAAUUGAUAGUCCACGAUUAACUUUACUUGAAUUUAAAAGUUUGUAUAUCGUUGUUUAUAGAAAAUUUUUUAAGAAAAAUAAUUUUUAAUAAAUUUAAUUAAAUUAUAAAUCAAAUCAAGGUGCAGUUUAUAUUUAAGAAGAAAUGGGUUACAAUAAAAUUAUUUAAAUGGAUUUAAAUUUUAACAUAUUUAAUGAAGGAGGAUUUGAUAGUAAUUUUAUUUAGUUAAAUAAAAUGAUUAUAGCUCUAGAAUAUGU